AGGACGAACGCUGGCGGCGUGCUUAACACAUGCAAGUCGAACGAGGUCCAACCAGUGGCAACACUGGGGAAGACCGAGUGGCGAACGGGUGAGUAACACGUGAGCAACCUGCCCCGAAGACCGGGAUAACAGCGGGAAACCGCUGCUAAUACCGGAUACUCCCCACCGGACCGCAUGAUCUGGUGAGGAAAUGGAUUCCGCUUCGGGAGGGGCUCGGCGGGCUAUCAGCUUGUUGGUGAGGUAACGGCU
RNAcentral lists this ribosomal RNA (249 nucleotides) under uncultured soil bacterium. RNAcentral's name for it is "partial 16S ribosomal RNA". It matches the Rfam family "Bacterial small subunit ribosomal RNA", at positions 26 to 265 of the family's 1533-position model. The record is from RNAcentral.